Molecule: ribosomal RNA, 253 nt
Filed under: uncultured bacterium
Lineage: Bacteria
Description: partial 16S ribosomal RNA
Rfam family: Bacterial small subunit ribosomal RNA
Source: RNAcentral
UACGUAGGGCGCAAGCGUUAUCCGGAAUUAUUGGGCGUAAAGAGCUCGUAGGCGGUUUGUCGCGUCUGCCGUGAAAGUCCGGGGCUCAACUCCGGAUCUGCGGUGGGUACGGGCAGACUAGAGUGAUGUAGGGGAGACUGGAAUUCCUGGUGUAGCGGUGAAAUGCGCAGAUAUCAGGAGGAACACCGGUGGCGAAGGCGGUUCUCUGGGCAUUACCUGACGCUGAGGAGCGAAAGUGUGGGGAGCGAACAGG